UGUAAGGGUGCAUAUGUAAAUUUUUCUUC
RNAcentral lists this small RNA (29 nucleotides) under Bombyx mori (domestic silkworm). RNAcentral describes it as "ovarian small RNA-35329". Lineage: Eukaryota; Metazoa; Arthropoda; Insecta; Lepidoptera; Bombycidae. The record is from RNAcentral.